Lolium perenne is the source of this 644-nucleotide long non-coding RNA. RefSeq lists it as uncharacterized. NCBI's taxonomy places the organism in Eukaryota, Viridiplantae, Streptophyta, Magnoliopsida, Poales, Poaceae. The record is from RefSeq and is a predicted model, not a curated record.
CUUGCAAGCUAUCAUUAGAAACUGUGUGGGCACAAAAGAUAGAGAAAGAUGAUACCAAAGAGGCUGCAAAGAAUGCUCGCUACGCACGAGCAUUUGAAUUGCAAGAGAAGCAGCUUGCAUUGCAAGAGAGAGAGGAUGCACGAAAAGAGCGGGAGGAUGCACGGCAAGAGAGGGAGGCAGCAAGGAUACAAUUUGAAGCUGAAGAAAAAAUUAUGUUGAUGGACACUAGUGGUAUGACCAUUGCACAAAAGCAAUUCUACAAGAACAAGCAGGAUGAGAUCACUGCUCGCCUCCACCAAACAUCCGGUUGACCUUCAUUAUUUGUUACAAACUCGUACUACAUCACUCAUGUCCAAACUUUUGCCAGAGGUGCUCAACUAGAUCAUUUUGAAGCUGAGAAUGAUCAUCUUUAUUUCUAAUCUGUUGAUGCAUCUGAAUGAAAGCACUCAACUCUUCUGCAUGUGUCCUCGAACAAUGGCAAAACGAGAUUGCAGAACUCCAAAGGCUCGUUCCACAUCCUUUCUAACCGCCUCUUGCCUUUGAGAAAAAUGUUUCUUCUUUCUGGUUGGGGGAGAUGGUAUGGUCUUCACAAAUGUUGCCCAUUUUGGAUAUAUGCCAUCUGCAAGGUAAUACCCCAUUGUAUA